This is a non-coding RNA of Malus domestica (apple), 962 nucleotides long. The record is from RefSeq and is a predicted model, not a curated record. Lineage: Eukaryota; Viridiplantae; Streptophyta; Magnoliopsida; Rosales; Rosaceae.
UGUUGCACCUUCUGCUUGGACAAAUCGCUGUUCACCUGUCUGGCCUCAAGUAGUCUUUCUAGAAAAAAAGAACCCCGCAUGUCAUCCCUUUUCUCUUUUUGCAAUUUUGCAAGAAAUAAAAAACGUGAAUCCCGUCCCGGUUCAAAGAAAAUUCCUUAAGCGGCUUUAAUUUCACGAAAGCGAAUCCCAUGAGGGAGAUCAAGGUCCAGAAGCUGGUCCUCAACAUCUACAUCGAUGAGAGCGCAGAUCGACUCACGAGAGCCGCCAAGGUGUUGCAGCAACUUAGUGGCCAAACACCUGUUUUCUCCAAAGGAUUUUAUUUUUUAUUUGAGACUUGGAUAUGAAAAGAUGGAUUGUGUUUAUCCGGUUUAUAUUAAUUCAAAGAAAAUUGUGGCUCAAGGGAACAGUUAAUGAUCCACAGGGCAUCAAAGUAUCUUACUCAACUGUAUAUUACAUGUUUCUUUUUAUUUCAAAUUAAUUUGGUUCUCUCUAAAUGAAUCAAAGAUCACAAGACUAGAACCAGUGGUUUCCAAAAAAGCCAGACAAAAGAUUUGAUUGAGCAACAGGUGCUUCAACCAUAUAUUAUUAUAAUUGUACGACGCCUUAGCGUUACAAGAGCAAUUCUUGGAGUUGCAAGCUUACCAGCUACAAAAAUGAAAUUUAUUGAAAAAAUCUGGAGAGAAGGGCCUCCUAAAUUAUUAUGACCACCGGAAGCAGUAAAUCCUUUUGGUUGCAUAAUGAAAGGGACUGCCUUUGGAUGUCGCUAAUAUUUAGUGGUGUCAGUGUUGUAGUGUGAACAAAAAAAUAAUUUUAUUUUUUCUCUACCAAAUAUUAUGAUGAAUUUUAUGUAAAUGAUGUCUUAAUUGUACAAAUCUAUGCUAUUCUACACAUUUGGGCUGUUUUUUUUUUGUUGGAUACAUUUGGGGUGUUAAAAAUUAAAAUUGGUAUUGUUUAUACUUGCA